CACCCUCUCGUCUGUCUCUGUGCAAUUGACAGGUUUGAAAUGAGAUUGCUUUCCUAACUACCUGUGGGGCCACCCGUGAGUCAAUGUUUCAUAUUCAUUAACUAAUGUACAGCUGGAGACAGUAAAACCUUUCAGUGAAGGCUGAUUUCAGAGCUUGCUAAGUCAAUAUCCCUCCUUUGAUUGUUCUCCUAUCUCAUAGCAGCAUUUGCUUCCCUCCUAAAUAUUCACUCCUAGAAGUGGAUAUUGUAGCCUAUGUUGACAUUGUCUGAUGCCACUUUGCAGCUUCUGAAAUAUGUAUAUUUGGACUGUUGGAGAGUAUAAAAAUAGAGAAAAGUUCCUGGAAAGACUUUCUGGACAGAUGAGCCAACAAUUGACACCUGAGCUACCUGAACAACUGCCUGUGAAAGCAUAUUUCUUCUGUGCUUUGAGGAAGAGCUUGUGAAGCUGACAGCCCUGCUGCUCCAUUCCAGGCUAGCUCUUGAAAAGGAGAAAGGAGAAGCAUGUCUGUUUCCAUCAGUGUACCUCUCUUUGUCGUGUCAUCUUGAGCUCCGC
This 552-nucleotide long non-coding RNA is filed under the name Macaca mulatta (Rhesus monkey). RNAcentral's name for it is "lncRNA (ENSMMUG00000050708.1)". The record is from RNAcentral. Lineage: Eukaryota; Metazoa; Chordata; Mammalia; Primates; Cercopithecidae.